This 253-nucleotide ribosomal RNA is filed under the name uncultured bacterium. RNAcentral's name for it is "partial 16S ribosomal RNA". It matches the Rfam family "Bacterial small subunit ribosomal RNA", at positions 524 to 776 of the family's 1533-position model. The record is from RNAcentral.
UACGUAGGGUGCAAGCGUUAAUCGGGAUUACUGGGCGUAAAGCGCGUGUAGGCGGCUAAGUAAGUCGGGCGUGAAAUCCCACGGCUCAACCGUGGAAGUGCACUCGAAACUGCAUAGCUAGAGUCCUGGAGAGGAAGGUGGAAUGCUUGGUGUAGAGGUGAAAUUCGUAGAUAUCAAGCGGAACACCGGUGGCGAAGGCGGCCUUCUGGACAGUGACUGACGCUGAGACGCGAAAGCGUGGGGAGCAAACAGG